Molecule: ribosomal RNA, 465 nt
Filed under: uncultured bacterium
Lineage: Bacteria
Description: bacterial SSU rRNA
Rfam family: Bacterial small subunit ribosomal RNA
Source: RNAcentral
CCUACGGGGUGCACCAGUGGGGAAUAUUGCACAAUGGGCGCAAGCCUGAUGCAGCCAUGCCGCGUGUAUGAAGAAGGCCUUAGGGUUGUAAAGUACUUUCAGUUGGGAGGAAGGCGUUGAUGCUAAUAUCAUCAACGAUUGACGUUACCAACAGAAGAAGCACCGGCUAACUCCGUGCCAGCAGCCGCGGUAAUACGGAGGGUGCAAGCGUUAAUCGGAAUUACUGGGCGUGAAGCGCACGCAGGCGGUUGAUUAAGUUAGAUGUGAAAUCCCCGGGCUUAACCUGGGAAUGGCAUCUAAGACUGGUCAGCUAGAGUCUUGUAGAGGGGGGUAGAAUUCCAUGUAUAGCGGUGAAAUGCGUAGAGAUGCGGAGGAAUACCGGUGGCGAAGGCGGCCUCCUGGACAAAGACUGACGCUCAGGUGCGAAAGCGUGGGGAGUAAACAGGAUUAGAUACCCUGGUAGUC